GCAUAAUCAUUUGCCCCUUAAUUAGGGGCUAGCAUGAAUGGACAAACGAGAUUAUACCUGUCUCCUCUAUACCUAUAAAAAUUAAUCUACAGGUGAAGAAGCCUGUAUUUUUAUAAAAGACAAGAAGACCCUGUCGAGCUUUAAUUAUUUAUAAUAUAACGCAAUAUCUAUGCCCCCUCUUAUAAAUAAUCUUUGUUGGGGCGACAAUGGAGCAUAAAAACCCUCCACUACAAUCUAGACACCGAGUCACCCAAAAAAUCCCCAAAAGGAACCUGGAACUAGCUACCGCAGGGAUAACAGACUAAUCUUCCUCAAGAGCCCAAAUCUACAGGAAGGCUUGG
RNAcentral lists this ribosomal RNA (341 nucleotides) under Palola environmental sample. RNAcentral describes it as "partial 16S ribosomal RNA". It matches the Rfam family "Bacterial large subunit ribosomal RNA", at positions 1959 to 2521 of the family's 2925-position model. The record is from RNAcentral. Lineage: Eukaryota; Metazoa; Annelida; Polychaeta; Eunicida; Eunicidae.